This 204-nucleotide ribosomal RNA is filed under the name uncultured bacterium. RNAcentral describes it as "partial 16S ribosomal RNA". It matches the Rfam family "Bacterial small subunit ribosomal RNA", at positions 196 to 401 of the family's 1533-position model. The record is from RNAcentral.
CCCGGCUAAAGCCCCGACGGGAGGGGAUGGCUCCGCGGCCCAUCAGGUAGACGGCGGGGUGACGGCCCACCGUGCCGACAAUCGGGUAGCCGGGUUGAGAGGCGGACCGGCCAGAUUGGGAGUGAGACACGGCCCAGACUCCUACGGGAGGCAGCAGUGGGGAAUCUUGCGCAAGGGGGGGAACCCUGACGCAGCGACGCCGCG